This 495-nucleotide ribosomal RNA is filed under the name uncultured bacterium. RNAcentral describes it as "partial 16S ribosomal RNA". It matches the Rfam family "Bacterial small subunit ribosomal RNA", at positions 28 to 507 of the family's 1533-position model. The record is from RNAcentral.
GACGAACGCUGGCGGCGUGCCUAAUACAUGCAAGUAGAACGCGGAAGGAGGAGCUUGCUUCUCUGGAUGAGUUGCGAACGGGUGAGUAACACGUAGGUAACCUGCCUGGUAGUGUGGGAUAACUAUUGGAAACGAUAGCUAAUACCGCAUAAGAGUAGAUGUUGCAUGACAUUUGCUUAAAAGGUGCAAUUGCAUCACUACAAGAUGGACCUGCGGUGUAUUAGCUAGUUGGUGGGGUAAGGGCUUACCAAGGCGACGAUACAUAGCCGACCUGAGAGGGGGAUCGGCCACACUGGGACUGAGACACGGCCCAGACUCCUACGGGAGGCAGCAGUAGGGAAUCUUCGGCAAUGGACGGAAGUCUGACCGAGCAACGCCGCGUGAGUGAAGAAGGUUUUCGGAUCGGAAAGCUCUGUUGUAAGAGAAGAACGAGUGUGAGAGUGGAAAGUUCACACUGUGACGGUAUCUUACCAGAAAGGGACGGCUAACUACGUG